AACGAACGCUGGCGGCAUGCCUAACACAUGCAAGUCGAACGAGACCUUCGGGUCUAGUGGCGCACGGGUGCGUAACGCGUGGGAACCUGCCCUUAGGGUCGGAAUAACUCCCCGAAAGGGGUGCUAAUACCGGAUAAUGUCUUCGGACCAAAGAUUUAUCGCCUUUGGAUGGGCCCGCGUUGAAUUAGCUAGUUGGUAGGGUAAAAGCCUACCACGGCGACGAUCCAUAACUGGUCUGAGAGGAUGAUCAGCCACACUGGGACUGAGACACGGCCCAGACUCCUACGGGAGGCAGCAGUGGGGAAUAUUGGAAAAUGGGCGAAAGCCUGAUCCAGCAAGGCCGCGUGAGUGAUGAAGGCCUUAGGGUUGUAAAGCUCUUUUACCCGGGAUGAUAAUGACAGUACCGGGAGAAUAAGCCCCGGCUAACUCCGUG
RNAcentral lists this ribosomal RNA (433 nucleotides) under uncultured bacterium. RNAcentral's name for it is "partial 16S ribosomal RNA". It matches the Rfam family "Bacterial small subunit ribosomal RNA", at positions 29 to 507 of the family's 1533-position model. The record is from RNAcentral.